CUUGCACCUUUGGUCUGAAAGUUCCCAUUUGCACUCCUGAACAGGCUCCCUCCAUAGAGGACCUGGCAGAUCUUACCAAGUCCCUUUAUCUCCCUGACUGGUUGAGUAAAGACCCUGGUUGAGUAAACCUCCCCAGCAGAGCCUG
Oxyura jamaicensis (ruddy duck) is the source of this 145-nucleotide long non-coding RNA. RefSeq lists it as uncharacterized. The record is from RefSeq and is a predicted model, not a curated record. The transcript has 3 exons. Lineage: Eukaryota; Metazoa; Chordata; Aves; Anseriformes; Anatidae.